UAAGCAGGCUAGGUAGUCGCGGGCGGUUAAGGCCGCCUGAGGAAAGUCCGGGCUCCACAGGGCAGGGCGCUGGGUAACUCCCAGCAAGGGUAACCUUAGGGAAAGUGCCACAGAAACAUACCGCCUUUAGUGCAGGCUCUUGUGCUACCGGAGGCAUGCCCAGCCUCUGGUAUUCCAAACAAGGGCCGGCGCAAAGGGUAAGGGUGAAAAGGUAGUGUAAGAGACUACCGGCAGCCGGGUGACCGGUUGGCCAGGCAAACCCCGUCCGGAGCAAGGCCAAAUAGAGGGGCGAUGACGUUGCCCGCAGAGCCCCUGGGUAUGGCCGCUUGAGGGAAAAGGUAACUUUUCUCCUAGAUAGAUGACUACCCUCGACAGAACCCGGCUUACAGGCCUGCUUACCAC
Molecule: RNase P RNA, 402 nt
Filed under: Candidatus Fermentithermobacillaceae bacterium
Lineage: Bacteria; Bacillati; Bacillota; Candidatus Fermentithermobacillia; Candidatus Fermentithermobacillales; Candidatus Fermentithermobacillaceae
Description: RNase P RNA component class A
Rfam family: Bacterial RNase P class A
About the family: Ribonuclease P (RNase P) is a ubiquitous endoribonuclease, found in archaea, bacteria and eukarya as well as chloroplasts and mitochondria.
Source: RNAcentral